AUAUCAAUAAGCGGAGGAAAAGAAACCAACAGGGAUUGCCCUAGUAACGGCGAGUGAAGCGGCAACAGCUCAAAUUUGAAAUCUGGCUCUUUUAGAGUCCGAGUUGUAAUUUGCAGAGGGCGCUUUGGCUUUGGCAGCGGUCCAAGUUCCUUGGAACAGGACGUCACAGAGGGUGAGAAUCCCGUACGUGGUCGCUGGCUAUUGCCGUGUAAAGCCCCUUCGACGAGUCGAGUUGUUUGGGAAUGCAGCUCUAAAUGGGAGGUACAUUUCUCUAAAGCUAAAUAUUGGCCAGAGACCGAUAGCGCACAAGUAGAGUGAUCGAAAGAUGAAAAGCACUUUGGAAAGAGAGUCAAACAGCAACGUUGAAAUUGUUGAAAAGGGAGCGCUUGCAGCCAGACUUGCUUACAGUUGCUCAUCCGGGUUUCUACCCGGUGCACUCGUUCUGUAGGCAGGCCAGCUAGUCAGUUUGGGCGUAAGGAUAAACGGUCUCGUGUACACGUUACCUCCGUUUACGGGGAGCCUUUAAGGG
Molecule: ribosomal RNA, 529 nt
Filed under: uncultured Alternaria
Lineage: Eukaryota; Fungi; Ascomycota; Dothideomycetes; Pleosporales; Pleosporaceae
Description: eukaryotic LSU rRNA
Rfam family: Eukaryotic large subunit ribosomal RNA
Source: RNAcentral